RNAcentral lists this ribosomal RNA (237 nucleotides) under uncultured bacterium. RNAcentral describes it as "partial 16S ribosomal RNA". It matches the Rfam family "Bacterial small subunit ribosomal RNA", at positions 100 to 334 of the family's 1533-position model. The record is from RNAcentral.
CCGGCACGGGUGAGUAACACGUAUCCAACCUGCCGUCUACUCUUGGACAGCCUUCUGAAAGGAAGAUUAAUACAAGAUGGCAUCACGAGUCCGCAUGUUCACAUGAUUAAAGGUAUUCCGGUAGACGAUGGGGAUGCGUUCCAUUAGAUAGUAGGCGGGGUAACGGCCCACCUAGUCUUCGAUGGAUAGGGGUUCUGAGAGGAAGGUCCCCCACAUUGGAACUGAGACACGGUCCAA